UAACACCGAAAACAAGUCAAAAUGAAAA
Molecule: non-coding RNA, 28 nt
Filed under: Bombyx mori (domestic silkworm)
Lineage: Eukaryota; Metazoa; Arthropoda; Insecta; Lepidoptera; Bombycidae
Source: RNAcentral